GUCACAGACUCUGGCUGCAGUGUGUUCCACCUUGGUGCUGUGAACAAAUGGCGUUGGAAAACAUCUGGGUCGCUCAACGAUUUGAGGCCGGAGCCAGUCGUCAUAACUACAAGAUGUGCAAGUUUUCCUUGUGCUGGUAUUGACCUGUCAUCAGCAACAACCUCAGUAUCAUCGCUAGGAUAAACAGCAUCCCAUUUCAUUGGAGAAACUACUGAUGCCGGUUACGAAUCUUUUCCUCCCCUGUCUUUAAAUGUCCUCGUGUAUGCCCAUGUGAAUGUGGGUGUAUUCACGAGGACUCCCUUUACCCCCUAUCCCGCCUGGUGGAUUCAACGUUUCUGCGACUUAGUGGAAAGCGAUGUGGAUGCCUGGCCGUAUUUUCCCAGGC
Long non-coding RNA from Daphnia pulicaria, 385 nucleotides. RefSeq lists it as uncharacterized. The transcript is spliced from 3 exons. Lineage: Eukaryota; Metazoa; Arthropoda; Branchiopoda; Diplostraca; Daphniidae. The record is from RefSeq and is a predicted model, not a curated record.